Molecule: ribosomal RNA, 253 nt
Filed under: uncultured bacterium
Lineage: Bacteria
Description: partial 16S ribosomal RNA
Rfam family: Bacterial small subunit ribosomal RNA
Source: RNAcentral
UACGUAGGGUCCAAGCGUUAUCCGGAAUCACUGGGCGUAAAGAGCGCGUAGGCGGCCAGGUAGGUCCGACGUGAAAUCUCGAGGCUCAACCUCGAGCGGUCGUUGGAUACCGCCUGGCUAGAGUCCGGAAGAGGAGAGUGGAAUUCCUGGUGUAGCGGUGAAAUGCGCAGAUAUCAGGAAGAACACCCAUGGCGAAAGCAGCUCUCUGGGACGGUACUGACGCUGAGGCGCGAAAGCGUGGGGAGCGAACAGG